GACGAACGCUGGCGGCGUGCUUAACACAUGCAAGUCGAACGGAAAGGCCCUGCUUUUGUGGGGUGCUCGAGUGGCGAACGGGUGAGUAGCACGUGAGUAACCUGCCCUUGACUUUGGGAUAACUUCAGGAAACUGGGGCUAAUACCGGAUAGGAGCUCCUGCUGCAUGGUGGGGGUUGGAAAGUUUCGGCGGUUGGGGAUGGACUCGCGGCUUAUCAGCUUGUUGGUGGGGUAGUGGCUUACCAAGGCUUUGACGGGUAGCCGGCCUGAGAGGGUGACCGGCCACAUUGGGACUGAGAUACGGCCCAGACUCCUACGGGAGGCAGCAGUGGGGAAUAUUGCACAAUGGGCGGAAGCCUGAUGCAGCAACGCCGCGUGUGGGAUGACGGCCUUCGGGUUGUAAACCGCUUUCGCCUGUGACGAAGCGUGAGUGACGGUAAUGGGUAAAGAAGCACCGGCUAACUACGUG
This 468-nucleotide ribosomal RNA is filed under the name uncultured bacterium. Its description in RNAcentral is "partial 16S ribosomal RNA". It matches the Rfam family "Bacterial small subunit ribosomal RNA", at positions 28 to 507 of the family's 1533-position model. The record is from RNAcentral.